AUACGUAGGGGGCGAGCGUUGUCCGGAAUGAUUGGGCGUAAAGGGCGCGUAGGCGGCCCGGUAAGUCUGGAGUGAAAGUCCUGUUUUUAAGAUGGGAAUUGCUUUGGAUACUGUCGGGCUUGAGUGCAGGAGAGGUAAGUGGAAUUCCCAGUGUAGCGGUGAAAUGCGUAGAGAUUGGGAGGAACACCAGUGGCGAAGGCGACUUACUGGACUGUAACUGACGCUGAGGCGCGAAAGUGUGGGGAGCAAACAGGAUUAGAUACCCUGGCAGUCCACACUGUAAACGAUGAAUGCUAGGUGUAGGGGGUAUCGACCCCUUCUGUGCCGCAGUCAACACAAUAAGCAUUCCGCUUGGGGAGUACGGCCGCAAGGUUGAAACUCAAAUGAAUUGACGGGG
RNAcentral lists this ribosomal RNA (397 nucleotides) under uncultured bacterium. Its description in RNAcentral is "partial 16S ribosomal RNA". It matches the Rfam family "Bacterial small subunit ribosomal RNA", at positions 523 to 918 of the family's 1533-position model. The record is from RNAcentral.